UACGUAGGUGGCAAGCGUUGUCCGGAUUUAUUGGGCGUAAAGGGCGCGUAGGCGGUUCGUUAAGUCCUGUGUGAAAUCCCCCGGCUCAACUGGGGAACUGCACAGGAAACUAGCGGGCUUGAGUUCGGGAGAGGGAAGCGGAAUUCCCGGUGUAGCGGUGAAAUGCGUAGAUAUCCGGAGGAACACCGGUGGCGAAGGCGGCUUCCUGGACCGACACUGACGCUGAGGCGCGAAAGCUAGGGGAGCAAACGGG
Molecule: ribosomal RNA, 253 nt
Filed under: uncultured bacterium
Lineage: Bacteria
Description: partial 16S ribosomal RNA
Rfam family: Bacterial small subunit ribosomal RNA
Source: RNAcentral